RNAcentral lists this ribosomal RNA (253 nucleotides) under uncultured bacterium. Its description in RNAcentral is "partial 16S ribosomal RNA". It matches the Rfam family "Bacterial small subunit ribosomal RNA", at positions 524 to 776 of the family's 1533-position model. The record is from RNAcentral.
UACGUAGGGUGCAAGCGUUGUCCGGAAUUAUUGGGCGUAAAGAGCUCGUAGGCGGUUUGUCGCGUCUGCUGUGAAAUCUGGGGGCUCAACCCCCAGCCUGCAGUGGGUACGGGCAGACUAGAGUGCGGUAGGGGAGAUUGGAAUUCCUGGUGUAGCGGUGGAAUGCGCAGAUAUCAGGAGGAACACCGAUGGCGAAGGCAGAUCUCUGGGCCGUAACUGACGCUGGGGAGCGAAAGCAUGGGGAGCGAACAGG